UCCUCGGUAGCUCAGUUGGUAGAGCAAACGACUGUUAAUCGUUAGGUCGCAGGUUCGAGUCCUGCCCGGGGAGCCA
This 76-nucleotide transfer RNA is filed under the name Campylobacterota bacterium. RNAcentral describes it as "Epsilonproteobacteria bacterium tRNA-Asn". It matches the Rfam family "tRNA". From Rfam's summary of the family: Transfer RNA (tRNA) molecules are approximately 80 nucleotides in length. Their secondary structure includes four short double-helical elements and three loops (D, anti-codon, and T loops). The record is from RNAcentral. RNAcentral also lists the same sequence under 2 other names. Lineage: Bacteria; Pseudomonadati; Campylobacterota.